CAGGUUUUUCUGCAUGGGUACCCGUAGCUGCUCUGUUCCUGGUUUAGAGGAGAAGGGGGAGGCAGUCGCGGCGCAUGCUGGAGGCUGGAGCUUGAGUUGGCUCGCCUCGCUGCUGCGGUUCCUGGCGGUGAGGGAGGCUACAGCACAGCCAGAAUGGUAAAAAGCUGGCGGAAUAGGUUCAUUAUCCCGGGAUGUACCGUCAGUGCUUUCCCGCCCCCGCACCGACCCGGAGGGGUCAUGAAGUUCCUGGCUCCCACCCAGAGUGCGUGUCUCUCCCUCCGGGGGUACCUCAAAGCGUCAAGAAGUUCCCAGGGAACGGGGUCAGGCGCCCAGGGUUCCAGGGAGAGUUUGAAGCAGGCUGCGGAGAAAAAGCGGCGAGGCCGAAGAAGAGGCUGGGUUCCCGUGAUGGAGGCUUGGCACUUGCCCUCAAAAAAGAUGGCGCGGAAGACCUCACGCGCCUCACGCGACCUGACCGCAGGACUCCUGCGCGGCUCAUAUCCCCGCACAGGGCGGCCGAGAGGGGAGGAGGAAGCAUGGACUGGAGGGCGGGUGUGGCCGGGGAGGCUCUUGGCAGCUGUUGUGUGGCUGCGCUGCUGGAGCUGCCGGGCGGGCGGGAUGCUGUACCCCCGGAGGAGACCCUCGCAGGAGCGCCAGGAGCUGGACGGCCUCUGGAGCUUCCGCGCCGACUUCUCCGACAGCGGAUACAGGGACUUCGAGGAGCAGAGGUAUCCCAAGGGUUACUUUGUCCAGAACACAGACUGACUUCUUCAACUACACGAGACUGGAGCGGUCUGUGGUUGUAUACACAACACCAACUACCUGCAUCGAUGACAUCACCAUCACCACCGGCGUGGAGCAAGAUAGUGUAGAGAUGGGGUUUCACCAUGUUGGCCUGGUUGGUCUUGAACUCCUGACCUCAGAUGAUCCACCCGCCUGGGCCUCCCAAAGUGCAGGGAUUACAGGUAUGAGCCUCCGUGCAUGGCUGGGAUACCCUUUCUUUAAGAAAAAUUUAAAAAAAAAUUGUUUUAAAUGUAUAUUUUUCCUUUUGUGAGAGGAGGCCCUGCACUGUCGCCCAGGCUGGAUGGCAGUGGUGUGAUGAUUGACAGCUGUUGUGGGGCCGCAGUUGUAAGUUUCAAAGAAUUUAGGCUGGGUGUGGCGGCUAAUGCCUGUCAUCCUAGCACUUUGGGAGGCCACGGUGGCUGGAUUGCUUGGGAUUGCUUGAGCUCAAAAGUUCAAGACCAGCCUGGGCAACAUAGUAAGACCCUGUCUCAAAAAGAAUAAAGAAUUUAAAUAAAUAAAAAAGAAUUUAAAU
Molecule: long non-coding RNA, 1312 nt
Filed under: Piliocolobus tephrosceles (Ugandan red Colobus)
Lineage: Eukaryota; Metazoa; Chordata; Mammalia; Primates; Cercopithecidae
Description: lncRNA (ENSPTEG00000006841.1)
Source: RNAcentral